CCUACCAGUGAGGAGGAGGCUGGGGGUGCUCAAGAAGUUAGGAGGUGACACAGCCAGGACAGCUGACCCCAACAGAUCCAAGCGAUAUUCUACAGCACACUGGCACCAUGUUCAGCCUAUAAAGCUGAAGGAAGAGGGGUAUUUGGAGUGAGUGAUUGUGUUUGUCUUUCUAAGUCACUGUUAUGCAUGCUGGACACCUGCUUUCCUGGGGAUGGCUGAACACCUUCCCGCCCAUGGGAAGUGGGAUGAAGAGACUACUUCCACAGUACACAAAAAUAUCUCUGGCAACAAUAGUAGCAGUCACUACUUUGCUCAUCUGCAAGAUAAAAUGUUCUUCUGUAAAAUACCAGGUAUUUACUGGAAGCUGUCGCCCCAAUGACUGCUUUGAACAUGAGACAUCUGCACUUCUGCUAAUAGCUCUGCCCUGCUGCAGUUCCCUUGCAUAUGGCUUUUCCUAUGAGGAAUUAUUGUCAGAAAGAAAUCUGGCCUCAUUGUCUCAGGUAGAUUGCAUUUGCCUGGUCAGUUUUCAUUGCCAUCUUUCAAUCUGAAUUUUUUUACCUGUUAUCUCAUGUUCUGUUGUAUUCAAAAGAUUCUAAUAGCUGUUGCAGGAAAGCCACAACAGAAUACUAGAUAAUCACUCAUUACAUUUUAUUAAACAUGUCUAAAUUACUACAAAAUAUUUCUCCACUAUGCUCCCUACUUGGAUUCUAAUACUGUGAGGAUUUACUUAUGUGCUACUUUAUGCCUGGUGGUUUGAAGUUUCUCACCAAAAAGAAAAAAAAAAAUUAAAUCAAGCCUAUCUUAAGUAUUUCCAGAAGGGCACCAAGAAACAGAGGAACUUUAAAUCAUUAUUAUUCGUCUUUUUUUUCCUCUUCUUUAACAUCAAAAGACCUGAUUCUUAGGGAUCAGUUAAGUACUUGCUUAACUCCAUUUAA
This is a long non-coding RNA of Passer domesticus (house sparrow), 935 nucleotides long. RefSeq lists it as uncharacterized. The record is from RefSeq and is a predicted model, not a curated record. The transcript is spliced from 3 exons. NCBI's taxonomy places the organism in Eukaryota, Metazoa, Chordata, Aves, Passeriformes, Passeridae.